ACUCCUACGGGAGGCAGCAGUGAGGAAUAUUGGUCAAUGGGCGAGAGCCUGAACCAGCCAAGUCGCGUGAGGGAGUACUGCCCUAUGGGUUGUAAACCUCUUUUGUCGGGGAGCAAAAGCCGGACGUGUCCGGCUGUGAGAGUACCCGAAGAAAAAGCAUCGGCUAACUCCGUGCCAGCAGCCGCGGUAAUACGGAGGAUGCGAGCGUUAUCCGGAUUUAUUGGGUUUAAAGGGUGCGCAGGCGGAUUUUUAAGUCAGCGGUCAAAUCGUGGGGCUCAACCCCAUCCAGCCGUUGAAACUGGGGAUCUAGAGUGUGCGAGAGGUAUGCGGAAUGCGUGGUGUAGCGGUGAAAUGCAUAGAUAUCACGCAGAACCCCGAUUGCGAAGGCAGCAUACCGGUGCACAACUGACGCUCAGGCACGAAAGCGUGGGUAUCGAACAGGAUUAGAUACCCUGGUAGUCCACGCAGUAAACGAUGAAUGCUACCUGUUUGGCCAGAUUGAAGGCUGA
This 509-nucleotide ribosomal RNA is filed under the name uncultured bacterium. RNAcentral describes it as "bacterial SSU rRNA". It matches the Rfam family "Bacterial small subunit ribosomal RNA", at positions 335 to 842 of the family's 1533-position model. The record is from RNAcentral.